Molecule: ribosomal RNA, 305 nt
Filed under: uncultured bacterium
Lineage: Bacteria
Description: bacterial SSU rRNA
Rfam family: Bacterial small subunit ribosomal RNA
Source: RNAcentral
CCUACGGGGGGCAGCAGUGGGGAAUAUUGCACAAUGGGGGAAACCCUGAUGCAGCGACGCCGCGUGAAGGAUGAAGUAUUUCGGUAUGUAAACUUCUACCAGCAGGGAAGAAAAUGACGGUACCUGACUAAGAAGCCCCGGCUAACUACGUGCCAGCAGCCGCGGUAAUACGUAGGGGGCAAGCGUUAUCCGGAUUUACUGGGUGUAAAGGGAGCGCAGGCGGCAGCGCAAGUCUGAUGUGAAAGCCCGGGGCCCAACCGCGGGACUGCAUUGGAAACUGCGCAGCUGGAGUGCCGGAGGGGUAA